GAAAUAAUAUAUUAAGAAAAUUAAAAAAAAAAAAAAAAAAAAAAAAAAAAUCGUAAAAAGGAAGUGCAAGUUUUUUUUUUUUUCCAUAGUAACUUUACUUGGUUUUUU
This 108-nucleotide non-coding RNA is filed under the name Partenskyella glossopodia. Lineage: Eukaryota; Cercozoa; Chlorarachniophyceae. The record is from RNAcentral.